GUUCACAUGGCUAAACUUUAUUUGCCCAAAUAGGUGAUCUAAUGAAGGAUACAGACCAAAAUUUGGGGGAUUGCAGUUUGUAUAGGAGGUUUAUUAUUUAAAAAAACCUCGUUUUACCAUUUUUCCCAUUUCAAAUGAUUUGGGAUUAUGUAUUCACAUGUUUCUCCACCUCUCCCUUUCCCCCAGGACUCUUGGCUUUCAGAAGCCCCUCUGGAACAUCCCAUCCGGUAAAACCCCAUCCCACCAGUGCAGAAAACAUGGUGCCCCUACUAUAGUGGAUCCAGCCUUGGAGAGGCCUCACCCUGCCUCAACACCUCUUCCCCCAGACCCUGAUGGCCAGGACAGUGUCUUUUUGCCUUCAGACUAGGCAGAGCGAGGUCCCCUGAGAGAGAUAAAUAUUGUUAUUUCCCCACCCAAAGUUAUUUGCAUUAGGUGAAAAAUGGCCGCACAUUCUUUGUGGUUCCUCUCAUCAAGACAUAUGGUCUCUUUCUCAUCCCUUGAAUCGGGGCAAAGCCUUGUGAUUUGCUCUGAUCAAAAGAACUUAGUAGAAUCGACGUUGUCCCAGCCCCAGUUCCAGGCCCAGAACCCAGGAAAUCUUGCAGCUUCUCCUGUCACUCUCCUGGAGCCCUAAGGCUGAAGCAGCCUGCUAGACAGGCCACAUGGAAGAGAACCAGGUCACCCCAACCAACAACCUGUCACCCGCCAGACAAGUGAGUCAGGCUGUCCUAGACCAUCCAGGCGCAGCUGAUGUGACAACUGACCACAGCUCCAUGAGGGUCCCCAGGUGAGAGCCCAGUGCAGAUUGCCGACCCACGGAAUUGUGGACAGAUACAUGACCUGUUUUUAGCUGCCAAAUUUUGGGAUGGUUUGCUACGCAGCAAAGGCUAACUGAUACACAGUUCCUCAUUUCUCCUUUGGUAAUGAGAUCCACUUUCAUUUCAGGAGGCAGUGUGCCAGUCUCAGUAGAUGGAACACAAUUGGUCUAUUCAACCACGAUAAUUCUAUUCCCUACUGUUUGGGAAGUGUCUAGAGUCAGACCCUCCCCACCAAGUGCGAAGAGAAUGCACCUCAGCUAUCCCUUCUGCCAGCCCAGCCUACUGGGGGCCAGAUGCAUCUUCUGGGCUCUGAGAAGUGUCAGGCGGUGCCACGGGGUCUGCUCCUCCAAGUCUGGUGUGGAUGCCGCCAGGUACACCCUGAGGUCCGAGAGGGUAGACUGCACAAGCUUGUCCAGGAUGGCCCUUGCUGCAGCUACUGUAGGCUGUGAGCCAGUAACAGCCCCCAAAGGAGUGGAGUUUUAAAAAGAGGGAAGCACAGCCACAGAAGAUUCUCCAAGGCAGAAAAUGCAAACCACGGCAGCAGAGAGCCCAUAGGGCUCAGCAAGCACGGGACACUGGCUCCAAGAACCGCCAGUUCCUUCUGAAAGUGACCUUCCUUCAGGUCCUGUUUCAGAACAGCAUUUACGUCACACUAAAUAACAGAGAGGGGUUCUCUAGCAGAAAAUGAUAUUUAUUCAAAGAGGACAGCCAGAAGAGGAAGAGAGCAGGGAGGCAACCAGGAUGGCCAGCUGCAGAGAGAAGUACCUUCUCCUCUGUCCUCCGCUGAGAGCUGCAGAGACGACCUGCCAGCAGAGAGGAGCUGCCCUCUACCCUGUAUGUGGAGAGCCUGAGACCUGCAGAGACAUCCAAACGACUUCCUGUGGAGAGGAGCCGCCCUCUCCAGCCUCCUCUCUGCUGAGAGCUGAACACUCACCGGGAGGAUGCUGUUCUAACAUUAAAUAAACUCUUUUUUUUUUUUGAGACGAAAUCUCACUCUGUCACCCAGGCUAGAGUGCAGUGGUGCGAUCUGGGCUCACUGCAAGCUCCGCCUCCCGGGUUCACACCAUUCUCCUGCCUCAGCCUCCCGAGUAGCUGGGACUACAGGCGCCCACCACCACGCCUGGCUAAUUUUUUGUAUUUUUAGUAGAGACCGGGUUUCACCGUGUUAGCCAGGA
Long non-coding RNA from Pongo abelii (Sumatran orangutan), 1990 nucleotides. The record is from Ensembl. NCBI's taxonomy places the organism in Eukaryota, Metazoa, Chordata, Mammalia, Primates, Hominidae.